UCGAGAAUCUUGGGCAAUGCGCGAAAGCGUGACCCAGCAAUGCCGCGUGUAUGAUGAAGGUCUUCGGAUCGUAAAAUACUGUCUCCCGUGACGAUAAUGACGGUAGCGGGGAAGGAAGCCACGGCUAACUACGUGCCAGCAGCCGCGGUAAUACGUAGGUGGCGAGCGUUGUUCGGAUUUAUUGGGCGUAAAGGGUCUGUAGGAGGUUUGUUAAAAUUGAGGUGAAAUCCCGGAGCUCAACUUCGGAACUGCCUCGGUGACUGAUAGACUAGAGUGUUGGAGAGGUAAGCGGAAUACCAAGUGUAGCGGUGGAAUGCGUAGAUAUUUGGUAGAACACCAAUGGCGAAGGCAGCUUGCUGGACAAUAACUGACUCUGAAAGACGAAAGCAUGGGGAGCAAACAGG
Molecule: ribosomal RNA, 404 nt
Filed under: uncultured prokaryote
Also listed under: 1 other name
Description: bacterial SSU rRNA
Rfam family: Bacterial small subunit ribosomal RNA
Source: RNAcentral